RNAcentral lists this ribosomal RNA (734 nucleotides) under Staphylococcus equorum. Its description in RNAcentral is "bacterial SSU rRNA". It matches the Rfam family "Bacterial small subunit ribosomal RNA", at positions 24 to 740 of the family's 1533-position model. Lineage: Bacteria; Bacillati; Bacillota; Bacilli; Caryophanales; Staphylococcaceae. The record is from RNAcentral.
UCAGGAUGAACGCUGGCGGCGUGCCUAAUACAUGCAAGUCGAGCGAACGGAUAAGGAGCUUGCUCCUUUGAAGUUAGCGGCGGACGGGUGAGUAACACGUGGGUAACCUACCUAUAAGACUGGAAUAACUUCGGGAAACCGGAGCUAAUGCCGGAUAACAUUUGGAACCGCAUGGUUCUAAAGUAAAAGAUGGUUUUGCUAUCACUUAUAGAUGGACCCGCGCCGUAUUAGCUAGUUGGUAAGGUAACGGCUUACCAAGGCAACGAUACGUAGCCGACCUGAGAGGGUGAUCGGCCACACUGGAACUGAGACACGGUCCAGACUCCUACGGGAGGCAGCAGUAGGGAAUCUUCCGCAAUGGACGAAAGUCUGACGGAGCAACGCCGCGUGAGUGAUGAAGGUUUUCGGAUCGUAAAACUCUGUUAUUAGGGAAGAACAAAUGUGUAAGUAACUGUGCACAUCUUGACGGUACCUAAUCAGAAAGCCACGGCUAACUACGUGCCAGCAGCCGCGGUAAUACGUAGGUGGCAAGCGUUAUCCGGAAUUAUUGGGCGUAAAGCGCGCGUAGGCGGUUUCUUAAGUCUGAUGUGAAAGCCCACGGCUCAACCGUGGAGGGUCAUUGGAAACUGGGAAACUUGAGUACAGAAGAGGAAAGUGGAAUUCCAUGUGUAGCGGUGAAAUGCGCAGAGAUAUGGAGGAACACCAGUGGCGAAGGCGACUUUCUGGUCUGUAAC